This 253-nucleotide ribosomal RNA is filed under the name uncultured bacterium. Its description in RNAcentral is "partial 16S ribosomal RNA". It matches the Rfam family "Bacterial small subunit ribosomal RNA", at positions 524 to 776 of the family's 1533-position model. The record is from RNAcentral.
UACGUAGGGGGCAAGCGUUGUCCGGAUUUAUUGGGCGUAAAGAGCGUGUAGGCGGCCAGGUAGGUCAGCUGUGAAAACUCGAGGCUUAACCUCGAGACGCCGGCUGAAACCCUCUGGCUAGAGUCCGGAAGAGGAGAGCGGAAUUCCUGGUGUAGCGGUGAAAUGCGCAGAUAUCAGGAAGAACACCGGUGGCGAAGGCGGCAUCCUGGACCAACACUGACACUGAGGAGCGAAAGCCAGGGGAGCAAACGGG